Molecule: long non-coding RNA, 1210 nt
Organism: Myotis brandtii (Brandt's bat)
Lineage: Eukaryota; Metazoa; Chordata; Mammalia; Chiroptera; Vespertilionidae
Exons: 3
Source: RefSeq, a predicted model, not a curated record
GGGGGUAGAGGAUGAGGAGCCAGGGUCAGCUCCAUCUGCGUUUGGACAAAACCACAUUGGCAGCCACGUGGAGGAUGAACUGGGGGCAAAACCAGCAAUUAAAAAAAAAGACAGAAAACAGUAAAAACAGAGGCCAGAGCACAGCAUUUGUCAACCCUUGAUGGAGGGAUGCCUGUCGCAGAGCAUGACUCAGCCCUCAGCCGGGAGUGACCGCGAGGAGCUCACGUAUAAAAACAGGGGCGCGGCAGACACGAAAAUCCUUGACCUGUCACUCCAGCAGGUGUCAACUCGACACAACGGAGCUGAGCCGGGAAAAGACACCGUCCCGGGGACCAGAACACGGAGGAAAAGCAGCACCGAAUCAGGUCCAAGAAAACCUCCAGUUCCCGAGGCAGAAUCGGCGCUUACUUCAUUCUCCAACAGCAAAGCAAUAGAAUUAGAAAUGAAACAGAAAACAGCGUCCAGGAAAACGGAAGCAGUCAGAGGCAGGGGGGCACAGGCGGACAGGCGUCCAUGGAAUGGCCUUCGGAGAACGGACUCCCUGAGAUCUGCACUCCUAAGCAGGCAUCACACUCUCCCGUCAGCCGCCCCUGCCGCCCGCAAGGCCCCACGUGGGUGAAGAAAAGUCACCAGCUACUCCACCAGGAAACGCUCCGCCGUGCCAGUGACGUUGGCGAUGUGCCACAGGCGCCCACGAGGUAUGUCCGAAUGCUGGGCGCCCGGGAAACGUAAUAGUUCAACCAGCACAGCAAACCAGGCUGAGAUCCCGUGAAGGACUCAGACAUUGAAAAAAAAGGCGGGGGGGGGGGGGGUAGCUUUUUCAAAGAUAAAAUGGUUUGGUUUCUCAAAUGGCCAUGAUCUACAGUGUAAGUACCGAGUCCCUGAACCAAGGCAGAAUGGGGAAAUAAAUCAAAAAUACAGGGGAGGCCCCAUCCAGUAAGCGAACCGCCUUCCAGCUGCUGGAAAAACACUGCAGUGCCCUGGGGUGAAUAAAUAAUAAAAGGCUAGGGAAACAAUACACCCUGAAAACACCCGUCCCUCCCUCCGUGCUGCUGGCCGGACAGCGCGGGCGGGUUCAGGCUGCCGGGCCACACAGCCAGCGAGCAUGUAUUUACCCAUAACACGGGGUCCUUUCCAGAGAACCGGGGAGGGCAUUCCGAAAACCUGAAGCCGGUCUGGGACCUCAUUAUUUCACCCCAAGCUCCAGUAU